RNA transcript from Pseudopodoces humilis (Tibetan ground-tit), 4144 nucleotides. It is a transcript of the gene named EPH receptor A4, with no coding region annotated. Lineage: Eukaryota; Metazoa; Chordata; Aves; Passeriformes; Paridae. The record is from RefSeq and is a predicted model, not a curated record.
GCAUGGCCGGGGUCCCGAUCUGCGCCCUCCUCCCGCUCCUCGUCGGCGUCUGCGGCGCCGUCACCGGCUCACGGGUCUAUCCCGCCAACGAAGUUACCUUGCUGGAUUCCAGAUCAGUUCAGGGAGAACUGGGGUGGAUAGCAAGUCCCCUGGAAGGAGGGUGGGAGGAAGUGAGCAUCAUGGAUGAGAAGAACACUCCGAUCCGCACCUAUCAAGUCUGCAACGUGAUGGAGCCCAGUCAGAAUAAUUGGUUACGAACUGAUUGGAUUCCCCGUGAGGGGGCUCAGAGGGUUUAUAUUGAAAUCAAGUUCACACUAAGAGACUGCAACAGCCUGCCAGGUGUCAUGGGAACUUGCAAAGAGACUUUCAACCUUUAUUACUACGAAUCAAACAAUGAUAAAGAGCGUUUUAUUCGCGAGAGCCAGUUUGCCAAGAUAGACACCAUUGCUGCUGAUGAGAGCUUCACUCAGGUGGACAUUGGUGACAGGAUCAUGAAGCUGAAUACAGAGAUCCGGGAUGUGGGACCACUCAGCAAGAAGGGGUUUUAUUUGGCUUUUCAGGACGUCGGUGCCUGCAUUGCUUUGGUCUCUGUCCGUGUGUUCUAUAAGAAGUGCCCGCUGACGGUUCGGAACCUGGCGCAGUUUCCAGACACCAUCACUGGGGCUGACACCUCCUCGCUGGUGGAGGUUCGCGGCUCCUGUGUCAACAACUCAGAAGAGAAGGAUGUGCCAAAAAUGUACUGUGGGGCAGAUGGCGAAUGGCUGGUGCCCAUUGGCAACUGCUUGUGCAAUGCUGGCUACGAGGAGCGCAACGGAGAAUGCCAAGCUUGCAAAAUCGGAUACUACAAGGCUCUCUCGACAGAUUUUGCCUGUGCCAAAUGCCCGCCUCACAGCUACUCCAUCUGGGAAGGCUCCACGUCCUGCACCUGCGACCGGGGCUUUUUCCGAGCGGAAAAUGAUGCUGCCUCCAUGCCCUGCACUCGCCCUCCAUCUGCUCCCCAGCACCUGAUUUCCAACGUCAAUGAGACCUCUGUGAACCUGGAGUGGAGCCCCCCGCAGAACAAAGGUGGCCGGGAGGACAUCUCCUACAACGUGGUGUGCAAGAGGUGCGGGGCCGGCGAGCUCAGCCGCUGCCGCUCCUGUGGCAGUGGGGUGCACUUCAGCCCCCAGCAGAACGGCCUGAAAACCACCAAAGUCUCCAUCACUGACCUCCUGGCACACACCAACUACACCUUUGAGGUCUGGGCGGUGAACGGAGUGUCCAAGCAAAACCCCAGCCAGGACCAGGCCGUGUCAGUCACUGUGACAACUAACCAAGCAGCUCCAUCCCCGAUUGCAUUGAUCCAGGCUAAGGAAAUAACAAGGCACAGCGUUGCCUUGGCUUGGCUGGAGCCUGACAGGCCAAAUGGAGUCAUCCUGGAGUAUGAGGUCAAAUACUAUGAAAAGGACCAGAACGAGCGCAGCUACCGCAUCGUGAAAACGGCCUCCAGGAACACCGACAUCAAAGGCCUCAACCCCCUGACCUCCUACGUGUUCCACGUGCGGGCCAGGACAGCAGCAGGCUAUGGAGACUUCAGUGGGCCCUUCGAGUUCACCACUAACACAGUUCCUUCCCCCAUCAUUGGCGAUGGUACCAAUCCCACAGUGCUUCUUGUUUCAGUGGCUGGCAGUGUUGUUCUUGUGGUCAUUCUCAUUGCAGCCUUUGUCAUCAGCAGGAGGCGCAGUAAGUACAGCAAGGCAAAGCAAGAGGCAGAUGAGGAGAAACACUUGAACCAAGGUGUUAGAACAUAUGUGGAUCCUUUUACAUAUGAGGAUCCAAACCAAGCUGUGAGGGAAUUUGCCAAAGAAAUUGAUGCCUCCUGCAUAAAGAUUGAAAAAGUUAUUGGUGUGGGGGAGUUUGGUGAAGUGUGCAGUGGACGUCUCAAAGUGCCGGGAAAAAGAGAGAUCUGUGUUGCUAUCAAGACUCUAAAAGCUGGUUACACUGAUAAACAAAGGAGAGACUUUCUGAGUGAGGCCAGUAUCAUGGGACAAUUUGACCACCCCAAUAUCAUCCACUUGGAAGGUGUAGUUACUAAAUGUAAACCAGUAAUGAUCAUAACUGAGUACAUGGAGAAUGGUUCCUUGGAUGCUUUCCUCAGGAAGAAUGAUGGCAGAUUCACAGUCAUCCAGCUGGUGGGGAUGCUCCGUGGCAUUGGCUCAGGGAUGAAGUACCUGUCUGACAUGAGCUACGUGCACCGGGACCUCGCUGCUCGCAACAUUCUGGUCAACAGCAACCUGGUCUGCAAAGUGUCUGAUUUUGGCAUGUCCCGGGUCCUGGAGGAUGACCCUGAGGCAGCUUACACCACACGGGGUGGCAAGAUCCCCAUCAGGUGGACUGCUCCCGAGGCCAUCGCCUACCGCAAAUUCACCUCGGCCAGUGACGUCUGGAGCUACGGCAUCGUCAUGUGGGAGGUGAUGUCCUACGGGGAGAGACCCUACUGGGACAUGUCCAAUCAAGAUGUGAUUAAAGCCAUCGAGGAAGGGUACCGGCUGCCCCCGCCCAUGGACUGCCCCAUCGCCCUCCACCAGCUGAUGCUGGACUGCUGGCAGAAGGAGCGCAGCGACCGGCCCAAGUUUGGGCAGAUCGUCAACAUGCUGGACAAGCUCAUCCGCAACCCCAACAGCCUGAAGAGGACAGGCAGCGAGAGCUCCAGACCUAGCACAGCCCUGCUGGAUCCCAGCUCCCCUGAGUUCUCGGCGGUUGUUUCUGUCAGUGACUGGCUCCAAGCCAUGAAAAUGGAGCGAUACAAGGAUAACUUCACAGCUGCUGGCUAUACCACCCUAGAGGCUGUGGUGCAUAUGAACCAGGAGGACCUGGCCAGGAUUGGGAUCACGGCCCUGGCACACCAGAACAAGAUCCUGAGCAGCGUCCAAGCGAUGCGCACCCAAAUGCAACAGAUGCACGGCAGGAUGGUUCCCGUCUGAGCCAGCACUGAAUAAACUCAAAACUCUUGAAAUUAGUUUACCUCAUCCAUGCACUUUAAUUGAAGAACUGCACUUUUUUUACUUCGUCUCCUCGCCCGUCGAAAUAAAGAUCUGCAGCAUUGCUUGAUGUACAGAUUGUGGAACCCGAGCGUGUGUGUUGGGAGGGGGGCCUCCAGAAAUGACAAGCCGUCAUUUGAAACCAGACCUGGAACAAAUUGUUUCUUGGAACAUACUUCUCUGUUGAUCAAUGAUAUGUAAAAUACAUGUAUCUAUAUAAAUAUAAAGUCACAUUCAAGUUUUGAUGAUAUGUUUGCUGCCAGAUACUGUGCUUAAGAAACAACAGCAUUACUUUCCUUCUCCCUGUGACCUGUAGGAUUACAACCAUAGUGUUUUAUUUGUGGGUGAAACCACCGUUGUGUAUCUUUCACUGGAAUGAAGAACCUGCCCUAGGAUAUUCUUUGCAGUCUUGAUGCAUCACUGACACCUUGCAGAAACCUCAGUGAGAAUAUCGUGUGGCUAAUCAGUGCCUGCCAAUUAGUGAUCUACCUGUUUAUGGGCUUGAGACAUGAAGUGUCCCACCUUGUGGAUUACUGGGCAAAACUGGACUUCUGGGGAGGUUCUUGGCUGUUGUGUCGUGCUGAAGCCUACCAUUGAAAGACUUUUGUGACCAUCUUGCCAGUAGUCAGCUGUGACAAUCGUGGCUGUGGAGCUUUCAGACUUUUCUCUUUCAAGAAACUCGCUCCCUUUACCUCACGGAAGGGAAACGGAUUUUGCUUUCACAGCCUCGUAGCCCGUCCUGUUGAUCACAUUGACCAUGGAGGAACACAGACUAGACAUGAAGCCUCUGGACCCACAGUUAUGUCUUCCAUAGCACUGAUUCUGGAAAAGGCAUUUUGAACAGUCUUUGGUCCCUGAAGAGAGUGUGACUUUUACUUUCUCUUUUUUUUGUUUCCUGGGCCACCCACUCCGUUGUUUUUCUCCACUGAGCGAUAACUAACUCGUUAAGACUCAGCACCCAGUUGUCACUUGAGGAAUGUACUGUGUCAAAUCCCUGCAGACUUCUGGAUUUUGAUUUUCAUCCUCUUCUGCUUUCUCUGCUUACCUUUGGUUUUAUUUAUAUAUUUUGUUGUUGUCUCUCCUCAUUCCCCUGGCUGUCACCGCUGCAUCCCGGACCAAUGAAG